CCCUUAGAUGUUCUGGGCCGCACGCGUGCUACACUGAGUGGAUCAGCGGGUCAGGUUGCGCGAAAGUGUUUCCUAAUCUUUAAAUCCGCUCGUGAUGGGGAUUGACGGUUGCAAUUUUCCGUCAUGAACGAGGAAUACCUUGUAAGCGCGGGUCAUCAUCCCGCGCUGAAUACGUCCCUGCCCUUUGUACACACCGCCCGUCGCUCCUACCGAUUUCGAGUGGUCCGGUGAACCUUUUGGACUGAAUAGCAAUAUUCGGGAAGUUAAGUAAACCUAAUCACUUAGAGGAAGGAGAAGUCGUAACA
Molecule: ribosomal RNA, 305 nt
Filed under: uncultured eukaryote
Lineage: Eukaryota
Description: partial 18S ribosomal RNA
Rfam family: Eukaryotic small subunit ribosomal RNA
Source: RNAcentral